UACGGGGGAUGCAAGCGUUAUCCGGAUUUAUUGGGUUUAAAGGGUGCGUAGGCGGUUUGAUAAGUCAGCGGUGAAAUAUUUCAGCUUAACUGAAAGGGUGCCGUUGAUACUGUCAGGCUUGAAUAUGGUUGCUGUGGGUGGAAUGUGUGGUGUAGCGGUGAAAUGCUUAGAUAUCACACAGAAUAUCGAUUGCGAAGGCAGCUCACAAAGCCAUUAUUGACGCUGAUGCACGAAAGUGUGGGGAUCAAACAGG
Molecule: ribosomal RNA, 253 nt
Filed under: uncultured bacterium
Lineage: Bacteria
Description: partial 16S ribosomal RNA
Rfam family: Bacterial small subunit ribosomal RNA
Source: RNAcentral